Molecule: transfer RNA, 74 nt
Filed under: Phytohabitans aurantiacus
Lineage: Bacteria; Bacillati; Actinomycetota; Actinomycetes; Micromonosporales; Micromonosporaceae
Description: Micromonospora sp. RD004123 tRNA-Leu
Rfam family: tRNA
About the family: Transfer RNA (tRNA) molecules are approximately 80 nucleotides in length.
Source: RNAcentral
GCCGAGGUAGCCCAAAGGAAGAGGCGACCGGCUCAAACCCGGUACAGCGCGGGUUCGACCCCCGCUCUCGGCAC